Molecule: transfer RNA, 64 nt
Filed under: Travisia sanrikuensis
Lineage: Eukaryota; Metazoa; Annelida; Polychaeta; Opheliidae
Description: tRNA-Leu
Rfam family: tRNA
About the family: Transfer RNA (tRNA) molecules are approximately 80 nucleotides in length. Their secondary structure includes four short double-helical elements and three loops (D, anti-codon, and T loops).
Source: RNAcentral
AAUGGGUUGGCAGAAUAGUGCACCUGAUUUAGGAUCAGAAAAUAAAAUUUACUUUUACCCAUUU